CCCUUCGUGGUGUAGUGAUCAGCACGCUCGACGGCUAACCGAGAGGUCCGUGGUUCGAUUCCCGGCGAAGGAG
RNAcentral lists this transfer RNA (73 nucleotides) under Stegodyphus mimosarum. It matches the Rfam family "tRNA". Rfam says of the family: Transfer RNA (tRNA) molecules are approximately 80 nucleotides in length. The record is from Rfam by way of RNAcentral. Lineage: Eukaryota; Metazoa; Arthropoda; Arachnida; Araneae; Eresidae.